CAGCCGCGGUAAUACGUAGGGGGCGAGCGUUGUCCGGAAUUACUGGGCGUAAAGGGCACGCAGGCUGUGCUUCAAGUCAGCUGUAAAAGGAUGCGGCUUAACCGUGUUAUGCAGUUGAGACUGAGGUGCUGGAGUACCGGAGAGGCAGGUGGAAUUCCCAGUGUAGCGGUGAAAUGCGUAGAUAUUGGGAAGAACAUCGGUGGCGAAGGCGACUUGCUGGACGGUAACUGACGCUGAGGUGCGAAAGCCAGGGUAGCGAACGGGAUUAGAUACCCCGGUAGUCCUGGCUGUAAACGAUGAAUGCUAGGUGUGCGAGCAGAGAUGUUGGUGUGCCGCAGUUAACGCGAUAAGCAUUCCGCCUGGGGAGUACGGUCGCAAGAUUGAAACUCAAAGGAAUUGACGGGGGCCCGCACAAGCGGUGGAGCACGUGGUUUAAUUCGAUGCAAACCGAAGAACCUUACCUGGGUUUGACAU
RNAcentral lists this ribosomal RNA (474 nucleotides) under uncultured bacterium. RNAcentral describes it as "bacterial SSU rRNA". It matches the Rfam family "Bacterial small subunit ribosomal RNA", at positions 512 to 987 of the family's 1533-position model. The record is from RNAcentral.